CUACGUGCCAGCAGCCGCGGUAAUACGUAGGUGGCAAGCGUUGUCCGGAAUUAUUGGGCGUAAAGGGCGCGCAGGCGGCUUCUUAAGUCUGUCUUAAAAGUGCGGGGCUUAACCCCGUGAUGGGAUGGAAACUGGGAAGCUCAGAGUAUCGGAGAGGAAAGCGGAAUUCCUAGUGUAGCGGUGAAAUGCGUAGAUAUUAGGAGGAACACCAGUGGCGAAAGCGGCUUUCUGGACGAAAACUGACGCUGAGGCGCGAAAGCCAGGGGAGCGAACGGGAUUAGAUACCCCGGUAGUCCUGGCCGUAAACGAUGGGUACUAGGUGUAGGAGGUAUCGACCCCUUCUGUGCCGGAGUUAACGCAAUAAGUACCCCGCCUGGGGAGUACGACCGCAAGGUUGAAACUCAAGGGAAUUGACGGGGGCCCGCACAAGCGGUGGAGUAUGUGGUUUAAUUCGACGCAACGCGAAGAACCUUACCAGGUCUUGACAU
This 488-nucleotide ribosomal RNA is filed under the name uncultured bacterium. Its description in RNAcentral is "bacterial SSU rRNA". It matches the Rfam family "Bacterial small subunit ribosomal RNA", at positions 501 to 987 of the family's 1533-position model. The record is from RNAcentral.